GACGAACGCUGGCGGCGUGCUUAACACAUGCAAGUCGAGCGGUAAGGCCCUUUCGGGGGUACGACGAGCGGCGAACGGGUGAGUAACACGUGGGUGACCUGCCCUCAGCUCUGGGAUAAGCCCGGGAAACUGGGUCUAAUACCGGAUAUGACUUCAUGACGCAUGUUGUGGAGUGGAAAGCCUUGUGCGGCUGAGGAUGGGGCCCGCGGCCUAUCAGCUUGUUGGUGGGGUGAGGCCUACCAAGGCGACGACGGGUAGCCGGCCUGAGAGGACGACCAGUCACACCGGAACUGAGACACGGUCCGGACUCCUACGGGAGGCAGCAGUGGGGAAUAUUGGACAAUGGGCGAAAGCCUGAUCCAGCGACGCCGCGUGGGUGAAGAAGCCUGCGGGUUGUAAAGCCCUUUCGGUGGGGAAGAAAAGCUCGAGUUAAUACCUCGGGUCUUGACGUAACCCAUAGAAGAAGCACCGGCUAACUCUGUGCCAGCA
RNAcentral lists this ribosomal RNA (489 nucleotides) under uncultured bacterium. Its description in RNAcentral is "bacterial SSU rRNA". It matches the Rfam family "Bacterial small subunit ribosomal RNA", at positions 28 to 513 of the family's 1533-position model. The record is from RNAcentral.